RNAcentral lists this ribosomal RNA (482 nucleotides) under uncultured bacterium. RNAcentral's name for it is "partial 16S ribosomal RNA". It matches the Rfam family "Bacterial small subunit ribosomal RNA", at positions 30 to 507 of the family's 1533-position model. The record is from RNAcentral.
AUUGAACGCUGGCGGCAUGCCUUACACAUGCCAGUCGAACGGUAACAGGUCUUCGGAUGCUGACGAGUGUCGAACGGGGGCGUAAUACAUCGGAACGUGCCCGAUCGUGGGGGAUAACGGAGCGAAAGCUUUACUAAUACCUCAUACGGUCUACGGAUGAAAGCAGGAGACCGCAAGACCUUUCGCGGACCGUGCGGCCGAUGGCAGAUUAGGUAGUUGGUGGGUUAACAGCUUACCAAGGCGACGAUUUGUAGCUGGUCUGAGAGGAUGACCCGCCACACUGGGACUGAGACACGGCCCAGACUCCUACGGGAGGCAGCAGUGGGGAAUUUUGCACAAUGGGCGAAAGCCUGACCCAGCAAUGCCGCGUGAAGGAUGAAGGCCUUCGGGUUGUAAACUGCUUUUGUACGGAACGAAAAGACUCUUUCUAAUAAAGAGGGUCCAUGACGGUACCGUAAGAAUAAGCACCGGCUAACUACGUG